Callithrix jacchus (white-tufted-ear marmoset) is the source of this 276-nucleotide unclassified non-coding RNA. It matches the Rfam family "Metazoan signal recognition particle RNA". Rfam says of the family: The signal recognition particle (SRP) is a universally conserved ribonucleoprotein. NCBI's taxonomy places the organism in Eukaryota, Metazoa, Chordata, Mammalia, Primates, Cebidae. The record is from Ensembl.
GCCAAGCACAGUGGCGUGUGCCUAUAGUCCCAGCUACUUCAGUGCCUGAAGCAGGAGGAUCCCUUGAGUCCAGGAGUUCUGGGCUGUAGUGCAUCAUGCCGAUCGGGUGUCCACACUAAGUUUGGCAUCAAUAUGGUGACCUCCUGGGAGCAUGGGACCACCAAGUUGCCUAAGAGGGGUGAACCAGCCCAGGUCAGAAAUGGAUCAGGUCAAAAUUCCUGUGUUGCAGCCUAGUCAACAUGGUGAAACCCCGUCUCUACUAAAAAUCCCAAAAUU